UAACCUGCCCAAGAGAUCGGGAUAACACCUGGAAACAGAUGCUAAUACCGGAUAAUAACAGAUGAUGCCUAUCAACUGUUUAAAAGAUGGUUCUGCUAUCACUCUUGGAUGGACCUGCGGUGCAUUAGCUAGUUGGUAGGGUAACGGCCUACCAAGGCGAUGAUGCAUAGCCGAGUUGAGAGACUGAUCGGCCACAUUGGGACUGAGACACGGCCCAAACUCCUACGGGAGGCAGCAGCG
This 240-nucleotide ribosomal RNA is filed under the name uncultured Lactobacillus sp. RNAcentral's name for it is "partial 16S ribosomal RNA". It matches the Rfam family "Bacterial small subunit ribosomal RNA", at positions 122 to 356 of the family's 1533-position model. The record is from RNAcentral. Lineage: Bacteria; Bacillati; Bacillota; Bacilli; Lactobacillales; Lactobacillaceae.